This is a non-coding RNA of Salvelinus sp. IW2-2015, 863 nucleotides long. Lineage: Eukaryota; Metazoa; Chordata; Actinopteri; Salmoniformes; Salmonidae. The record is from RefSeq and is a predicted model, not a curated record.
AAGAGCCCUUACAACAGAGAAGAGUUGAGGAAACGGUAUGCGUUUCAAUUGAUUAAGAACUGCGCAAUUUCUUGGUAACCCAUCGCCGCUUUGGUCCUGGUGUCCUUCUAAAAUAUAUUGAUAUCUAAAGGCGUGUUUGGAUUGAACAUGCGUGUGGCAAACCCGCCCGCGGUGCACGCAUAGCCUAUACCGGCGGUUGUAGCAGCUACGUACUUGGCUUGGCGAUUUUGAAAAGGAAUGUUCAAUUCUUCUGCGAGAGGGCUGUACAUUCAUUUUGGAAGAUAUGCAAGAUUAGAGAUUACUGUACAGUUUUGAAAUUGUGCAACACGAGACUAAUCGGUAUGCCAUGCCCAUGGCUGAUUCUCUAAAUGCUCUCAUCUCUCCCAAGCAACGAUUUCCUAAUGUAUCUGCGUGUACAGUUUCUGCAAGCCGACAUUUUCUAAAUGGAGUAAGGAUUUUUGACACAUUAUUCAGCUAUUACUUAAUUUUGGAAACGGUUUUGGGAGGCUACGUGGCUGAACGAACGUCAUUCGUGUGGAAAGAAGAUGUGUUACGACGUUUUUUUUCUGUUACAGUGUGCAGCAACGGUACCUCCCAUGAGAAAGCAGCAUGCACAAACAGCGGAACAAGGCCUAACACGAUGACACGGCCUCGGUAUGCUGUUGGCGUGGGCCAGCCCGGCAUCACCUGAACAAACAUUAAAGAUGUUAACAUCACGGUCAGGGCUGUGCGGCCACAGCAAAGAGCCAGUCAUUAUGAAGUGUGGGAAUGCGGGGCCGUCUGGUUGGAGCACGCAGUUGGCCAGGUAAGGAAGUGUGUCUGUAUGUCUCUGUGCAUUUAUACAAAUGCUGAUGCUGUGCGUC